Non-coding RNA from Podarcis lilfordi (Lilford's wall lizard), 72 nucleotides. Lineage: Eukaryota; Metazoa; Chordata; Lepidosauria; Squamata; Lacertidae. The record is from the annotation of a GenBank genome assembly.
UACAUAGCUCAGUCAGUAGAGCGUGAGACUCUUAAUCUCAUGGCUGUGGGUUCGGGCCCAGAUUGGGCAAAA